Molecule: long non-coding RNA, 3564 nt
Filed under: Gallus gallus (chicken)
Lineage: Eukaryota; Metazoa; Chordata; Aves; Galliformes; Phasianidae
Description: lncRNA (ENSGALG00010010624.1)
Source: RNAcentral
CGUCGGGGUCGGGGCCCCGAGGUGCUCCGUCGCUGCGCAGGUGGGAGCGCAAAGGAAAGCACCGAGACGUGCGAGAGGCCAGGCGCGCUCCUCUCCGCGCGGUCGGAGCCGGGGGCUGAAGACCACUCGGCAGAGAGCCCCGCGGCAUCGGGGGCACCGUACUCUUUUGUUUGUUUGUCGUCGUUGUUGUGUAUUUCCUAAAGAACAAAACACAGACCCGAAGCGUACCCCGGGGAUUAACGUGUGAGCAAAAUUGCCUGCGUUUAUCGACAGCGUAUCUUAACCGAUGCCACCUCGUAGCGCUGUAAAUAAAAAGUCUGCAUAAUACCGUGAAGAUUCCAUCUUUUAGAGUACUCGGAAUCUGAUGUGUUUGAGUUCUGUCCCAAAAAACCUCUCGGAGAAUCAGACAGCUUGUGAAUGCAGCAGCUUGGAAUUCAGGUCUUCCUGCGCAGGUCCUCCCCUGCUCCUUUCCAGAGCUUUAAGGACACUGACCCUGCCUCCAAACCCAGGAGAUCUGCCUCUUAAACGCUACUGGCACAGCCGGCACGGGGAGCAGGAGGGGUUCGCAUUGACAGGAUUCCAGGCAAAAGCCGGAGUUAAAGAGCACAGCGGCCCCUUCCUCCUUGGUUCUCAUCUAUUUAAAACUGCUCUAAAAUAGAUCUUUUAAAUAGAUGAGAGACGGGAGCUUUCUGUAGCUGCAGAGUAAGGGAGCCACAUCGACAACAAAGGCUCCCGCCUCUGUGCCUCAGUGCCCUGAGCUCAAACCGCUGCUCGAGGAGAAAAUGGCACCGGGGGCUCAAAAAUCCCCACGGGGCUACACUGGAGCCUGAGCUCCAGAGGUUCGGAAGGAAACUGAAGAAGAAGUAGAUCCACCUUGAAAAUAACUCAGAAAUGAGCUGCUGAGACCGCUGGCUCCUCCCUCGGCGAAUGUGUACGUCUGCGGUGUUGUCUUUAACACCCCGAUCAGCUGAACUGCUCACUCUUCCAACGGAUGAUUACUGUCAAUCCUAAGCACGCCAAAUAUUUUUACAGUGUUUGGGGAACCAAAAAAAAAAAAUACCUUGAAACCAGAGAAGUGGUGAGAAGACUGAGUGAGCGGCGUGACACUGAUGUGGUGCUCGGGAUUGCUGCUCUGCACAAGGCCGCUGUCCUUCAGAAGUUUUCCGGCAUGAGAUCACGACUACUUGUGUGGCUGGGUUUGUUGUACAGAGGGCAAAAGCUGCAUCAUUCCACAGCAGGAGCCGAGUGCUUUUAAGAAAUGUUGGCUUUAAGUCACGUCACGCAGAGGGCAAGGGCGGUGUAUCACCGGCUACUGUGCAGCAAAUGGUGAGGGACCGCAAGAGAAACAGAUCCACGAAGGUGGAUGCCUUGCAAACAGUGAUCCGGGUUCAGAAACGCUACUGAAAAAAUUGCAAGCAACACAUGAGGAUUACCUUCUGCUCUGUUCAGGAGAAACUGGGGAGUUUUGCUUAAUUUAUGCAUAUUUUAGGCUGCUGUAAAGAGCUCUGAUCAGCAGCUUUGGAUACUGUAAGGGUAAUACAGUGACCCUCAACUUAGCCACAGAGGCUGCUCAGGAGAGGCUAUCUCUAGGUGUGAGCUGAGGAAGCACCUGCCAACAGGCUGCUUUGGUCAGGAAAAUCCUCCGGCACAUUGGAUAUACCUACCUGAUCGGAAUGCUCAGAAGGCUUCACAGCAGACAACGAAGAAAAAAAAUGCUUUGGUUAUCACAGAAGAACUUUGUGGAGGGUGAGAGGAAAGAAAGAAAUUGCCUACGAACAGACACUGGAGAGUGUUUUCUUCAGAGGACUACAGCUCCCAGAUGCUUCUGCUCCUUUCUGCUGCUCUAAGUUCUGCAGUUACUCAUCACUUGACUCUAAGCGGUUCCAGUCUGUUAUUCUGUAUCACAAUACAUGUUGAAUUGGUGGCAUCACAUUCCAUUCCAGCAAAAGUGACUGAAAACCCUUCCUGUCUCAUAGGCAGUGGGUGUUCUACUUUUCUUUCAAGUCCCCCUUUCUUUUCCCCUUCUCCCUCUGCCUCUCUUCACUCCACCAUGCAGUCACCACUUCUGCCAUCCCUGAGCAGCCAUGCAAGACAAGCACAAACUGUCUGGAGGGCUGAAAAUGGAAGACGCAGCAGAUGGAAACACCAAAAUCAUCCUUUUCUGUAGGCUCUCUGAAAGCAGAGAUGCAAGAGAAUUUUGUACACUGCUUUUUUGGUUUUCUUUUUCUUUUUUUUUUUCUUUUUGUGACUUGACACAGAUAUACCUGCUCGAUCUGGAUGCUCAGAAGGCUCCACAGCAGACAAUGAAGAAAACACGUAGCUGUAGAUGUCCCUGUUUAUUGCAGGGCAGUUGGACUAGAUAAACUUUAAAGGUCCCUUCCAACGUAAACAAUUCUACGAUUGUAUGACUUCUGAGAUUUCUAACUGAUUUUAAAACUUUAAGUGAUCUUUAUGCUGUUAGUAAAUUCUUUUAAAAUGAUAAGGAAGUAGUGCUACAUAAAGUGAAACUGUCAAAGACUUUACACAUUGAUUUGGCAAGCUAGGAUUGUCAGCAGUACUCACCUGUAUGUCACAACCAGGGACAUCUGUUAGAAAGAGAGGUGCCACCGCUGUGUUAACUCACACAUAGAUGACUGUAUCACCAAGGAGGCUGUGCAGCCUGAGACCUGCCACAGUCAUGCUGGGCUGAAGUGAGAUUUUUGUUGAAAAGAAGAUAAUGGGUGGUUCUGGGCACCACUGAGGCAUAUGCAGGGCAGUAAAGUAGACAAUGGCAAUCUUAGAGACCCAGAGAUGCAACAGACCAUCCAUCUCUGGUCAUUUCUGUCACAUGAAAAAGCAAACUUAAGUAAUCUCUGAAUUUUCUGAGCAUGGACAGCAUCUCAGAAAAAAUCACAAAUGCUGAACAAUUCUGAAGUAUGUUUUAACUCUGUUGGAUUUCUGAUCAAGAAUUGAAGUACAAAGAUACAUUGCUAGUAAGUAAAAUGCUUGCUGUUAUAUCUCUGCGUCUAUUUCGUACAUUAGAACUUGGAUUUUCCUCAAGCAUGUCUUAAAUCUAGAAGGAAGGAUCCAUUUUUACUGUAAUCAAUUACUCACCUGAUUUACAUUCCAUGUUGGUUAGAAUUCAAGGAGUGAUGGAGCCCUAUGUCCCCAGCUGGCUCAUGCUUACUAUAGACAAGUGAUCACAUUUGGUCCUUGUCAGGCUUAAGAAUUCAGUUAUCCAAAAUUCAGUCAUGACAAUUCAUUUCAAACAGCAGUUAUAGCUACACUUUAAUCAGAACUGGCAAUGGAAGCAACAUAUUUUCUGACUGUACAAUUACUGAUCACUUUAGGCCUAUGUAAAGCAGGAAAAUAAAUUAAUUACAAAUUUGCUUCAGAAUACUACACCAAAGAUUUAAUAUAAACUGAUUUUUCCCAUUUGCCGGAUGUUAACAGGAUCGCUGGUGAAUUUGCACAGGUGAUUAAGCUCUUUGAGGGUAAAUCUUAUAAGAAAAAUAUUUUAAAAUAUGAUUUAUUAUUUUUAACUACUUCAAUUGAAAGCAAUAAAAUUCUCUGCUCGGUGCUUAA